RNAcentral lists this ribosomal RNA (447 nucleotides) under uncultured bacterium. RNAcentral's name for it is "bacterial SSU rRNA". It matches the Rfam family "Bacterial small subunit ribosomal RNA", at positions 355 to 825 of the family's 1533-position model. The record is from RNAcentral.
UGGGGAAUAUUGGACAAUGGGCGAAAGCCUGACCCAGCAACGCCGCGUGAAGGAUGAAGUAUUUCGGUAUGUAAACUUCGAAAGAAUAGGAAGAAUAAAUGACGGUACUAUUUAUAAGGUCCGGCUAACUACGUGCCAGCAGCCGCGGUAAUACGUAGGGACCAAGCGUUGUUCGGAUUUACUGGGCGUAAAGGGCGCGUAGGCGGCGUGGUAAGUCAUCUGUGAAAUCUCCGAGCUUAACUCGGAACGGUCAGAUGAUACUGCUGUGCUAGAGUACAGAAGGGGCAAUCGGAAUUCUUGGUGUAGCGGUGAAAUGCGUAGAUAUCAAGAGGAACACCUGAGGUGAAGACGGGUUGCUGGGCUGAUACUGACGCUGAGGCGCGAAAGCUAGGGUAGCAAACGGGAUUAGAUACCCCCGUAGUCUCUGAGCGGGCUGGCAAGGCGCAU